UGGGACCUGAUAUCAGGCAAAAUACCCGG
Molecule: ribosomal RNA, 29 nt
Filed under: Albugo lepidii
Lineage: Eukaryota; Oomycota; Peronosporomycetes; Albuginales; Albuginaceae
Description: partial 28S ribosomal RNA
Source: RNAcentral